This 256-nucleotide ribosomal RNA is filed under the name uncultured bacterium. RNAcentral describes it as "partial 16S ribosomal RNA". It matches the Rfam family "Bacterial small subunit ribosomal RNA", at positions 524 to 776 of the family's 1533-position model. The record is from RNAcentral.
UACGUAGGGUGCAAGCGUUUGUCCGGAAUUAUUGGGCGUAAAGAGCUCGUAGGCGGUUUGUCGCGUCGGCUGUGAAAACUCGGGGCUCAACCCCGAGCCUGCAGUCGAUACGGGCAGACUAGAGUGCUGUAGGGGAGACUGGAAUUCCUGGUGUAGCGGUGAAAUGCGCAGAUAUCAGGAGGAACACCGGUGGCGAAGGCGGGUCUCUGGGCAGUAACUGACGCUGGAGGAAGCGAAAGCGUGGGGAGCAAACAGG